Molecule: ribosomal RNA, 396 nt
Filed under: Lacticaseibacillus paracasei
Lineage: Bacteria; Bacillati; Bacillota; Bacilli; Lactobacillales; Lactobacillaceae
Description: bacterial LSU rRNA
Rfam family: Bacterial large subunit ribosomal RNA
Source: RNAcentral
AAGUGGGAAGAGCGCAAACCGAGAAGCUUGCUCGUCGGGGUUGUAGGACUGGACAUUGGAGUUACCAAAGUCCGACGUAGUCGAAGUCAGCUGGAAAGCUGCGCCACAGGAGGUGAAAGCCCUGUAAGCGAAACGUCGAACCCUACGUCCAGGAUCCUGAGUCCGGCGGAACACGUGAAAUUCCGUCGGAAUCCGGGAGGACCAUCUCCCAAGGCUAAAUACUCCCUAGUGACCGAGAGUGAACCAGUACCGUGAGGGAAAGGUGAAAAGCACCCCGGAAGGGGAGUGAAACCGUUCCUGCAACCGUGUGCCUACAAUUAGUAAAAGCCCGUUAAUGGGUAAUGGCGUGCCUUUUUUAGAAUGAAACAGCGAGUUACGUUUGCAUGCGAGGUUAAA